UUAUUUCUGAUUCAUACUUGUUUUUUCCACCCAGAACACAAUCCAAAAAGAAAAAGGUUGUUGUUGAGCAUUCAUCUUCUGAAGAAGAUCAAUACUAUGAUGGGUACAGUACCUCGGAGAACGAAGCUGACCUGCGAUCGACAGAAGGUCGCUAUGUCUCCUCUGAAACAAUACCGGAUGUGAACUUGGGAAGUGAUGAUCCUUCCUCUCAAGGACGCAUAGAACAAAGUAGUGUAAACAAGCCGGCAGAGAGCAUAUUGAGUCCGGUUCAAUAGUCAGCCAGUGAGCCGGCUGAUUCAAAUAUGAUGGUUGUGAGGGAACAGACACCGUCGGAAGCGCUUGCAAUAGUUCCGAUUCAAGUUUUUGUGCCAGUGUCCCAAACAACCACUGUGCCGGAACUUGAAGAAACACCUGAGACAGAUUUUGAACCAACCCCUCUGCUACAAAUUGAAGGAACUACAGAAACCACUCCUGAACCCCCCAACAACUUGAAGAAACCACACCCAUGCUUCCCCC
Non-coding RNA from Arachis ipaensis, 516 nucleotides. The record is from RefSeq and is a predicted model, not a curated record. Lineage: Eukaryota; Viridiplantae; Streptophyta; Magnoliopsida; Fabales; Fabaceae.